UAGGAAUGGAAUUAAAUAGUGAAUAAAUUAUGUAAACAAACCUUGAAGAAUCUACUUUCAUAGGAAAGUAACGAAACAAUCAUAUGGACAGUACAGUAAGAGAUAUUCGGGUUCUUGUGGAACAGGGCCAGAACAGUUUCUGGAUUCCCUGUUCCGCCUUUGGAAAUUCACUAUAAAUUGACCAGAGAUAAUUAGGGGUCAUACCAUAUAUGUAUGGAUUCCUCUCUGAGUCUAGUUUCCAUAGAAACAAACGGCAUCAGUAUUGAAGCUCUGUGCAGAGAGAUAUCCAAGUCGUAAUGGGAAAAGGUCAGUGUAGUCAACCCCUAUAACAUGGGAGACAUUGACUAAUAAACUGUACUAAUUGGCCCGACCAAAAAUUCUAGAAAAAAGUACAUAG
This 397-nucleotide long non-coding RNA is filed under the name Gossypium barbadense (sea-island cotton). Its description in RNAcentral is "long non-coding RNA (GBAR_LNC022957)". Lineage: Eukaryota; Viridiplantae; Streptophyta; Magnoliopsida; Malvales; Malvaceae. The record is from RNAcentral.